GAUGAAGAACGUAGCGAAAUGCGAUACUUGGUGUGAAUUGCAGAAUCCCGCGAAUCAUCGAGUUUUUGAACGCAAGUUGCGCCCGAAGCCAUUCGGCCGAGGGCACGUCUGCCUGGGUGUCACGCAUCGUUGCCCCCCCAAACUCCGGUUCGGGCGGGGCGGAAGUUGGCCUCCCGUGCGUGCCUGCGCGCGCGGUUAGCCCAAAAGCGAGUCCUCGGCGACGAGCGCCACGACAAUCGGUGGUUUUUUUACCCUCGUUCCUCGUCGUGCGUGCCCCGUCGCCCGAACGCGCUCUUGCGACCCUUACGCGUCGCCUCGGCGGCGCUCCCAACGCGACCCCAGGUCAGGCGGGACUACCCGCUGAGUUUAAGCAUAUAAUAAGCGGAGGA
Molecule: unclassified non-coding RNA, 389 nt
Filed under: soil metagenome
Description: partial contains 5.8S ribosomal RNA, internal transcribed spacer 2, and large subunit ribosomal RNA
Rfam family: 5.8S ribosomal RNA (bases 1-122)
Source: RNAcentral